This is a long non-coding RNA of Mustela lutreola (European mink), 371 nucleotides long. RefSeq lists it as uncharacterized. The transcript is spliced from 2 exons. Lineage: Eukaryota; Metazoa; Chordata; Mammalia; Carnivora; Mustelidae. The record is from RefSeq and is a predicted model, not a curated record.
CAACUUCCCCUAAGGAAGGAUGGCUGAGUGAUGUGGCUGUAGCCAUAGUAACAAGGGCACCAAAAAGAGAAACAAAGUAAGCCAGCGGACCUACUGGGUGGGGAGUAGGGGCGGCUGCCCUGAGGCCCUAGGCCCUAGGGGCAGAUGGUCCUUCAUUCCCAGUCCAAACUAGACCUUUCCACAGCCUCCGUGCCCGUCAAAGCCUGAAGAGGUUUCAUCAACAUUCUCAAAAUUGUGUGUUGGACCACCUGACUGGACUCUAGACCCCCAGAGACAGAUCUGCCCACAGACCCACCCCUUGCUGUCUGUUCAAGAUGAAGAAACUGAGACAGGAGGAGUUGAGCCAUGGGCCCAGGACUAUCUCCGACUAG